UUUAUGGAGAGUUUGAUCCUGGCUCAGAGUGAACGCUGGCGGCGUGCCUAAUACAUGCAAGUCGAACGAUGAAGCUUCUAGCUUGCUAGAAGCGGAUUAGUGGCGCACGGGUGAGUAACGCAUAGGUCAUGUGCCUCUUAGUUUGGGAUAGCCAUUGGAAACGAUGAUUAAUACCAGAUACUCCCUACGGGGGAAAGAUUUAUCGCUAAGAGAUCAGCCUAUGUCCUAUCAGCUUGUUGGUAAGGUAAUGGCUUACCAAGGCUAUGACGGGUAUCCGGCCUGAGAGGGUGAACGGACACACUGGAACUGAGACACGGUCCAGACUCCUACGGGAGGCAGCAGUAGGGAAUAUUGCUCAAUGGGGGAAACCCUGAAGCAGCAACGCCGCGUGGAGGAUGAAGGUUUUAGGAUUGUAAACUCCUUUUGUUAGAGAAGAUAAUGACGGUAUCUAACGAAUAAGCACCGGCUAACUCCGUGCCAGCAGCCGCGGUAAUACGGAGGGUGCAAGCGUUACUCGGAAUCACUGGGCGUAAAGAGCGCGUAGGCGGGAUAGUCAGUCAGGUGUGAAAUCCUAUGGCUUAACCAUAGAACUGCAUUUGAAACUACUAUUCUAGAGUGUGGGAGAGGUAGGUGGAAUUCUUGGUGUAGGGGUAAAAUCCGUAGAGAUCAAGAGGAAUACUCAUUGCGAAGGCGACCUGCUGGAACAUUACUGACGCUGAUUGCGCGAAAGCGUGGGGAGCAAACAGGAUUAGAUACCCUGGUAGUCCACGCCCUAAACGAUGGAUGCUAGUUGUUGGAGGGCUUAGUCUCUCCAGUAAUGCAGCUAACGCAUUAAGCAUCCCGCCUGGGGAGUACGGUCGCAAGAUUAAAACUCAAAGGAAUAGACGGGGACCCGCACAAGCGGUGGAGCAUGUGGUUUAAUUCGAAGAUACACGAAGAACCUUACCUAGGCUUGACAUUGAGAGAAUCCGCUAGAAAUAGUGGAGUGUCUAGCUUGCUAGACCUUGAAAACAGGUGCUGCACGGCUGUCGUCAGCUCGUGUCGUGAGAUGUUGGGUUAAGUCCCGCAACGAGCGCAACCCCCUUUCUUAGUUGCUAACAGGUCAUGCUGAGAACUCUAAGGAUACUGCCUCCGUAAGGAGGAGGAAGGUGGGGACGACGUCAAGUCAUCAUGGCCCUUACGCCUAGGGCUACACACGUGCUACAAUGGGGUGCACAAAGAGAAGCAAUACUGCGAAGUGGAGCCAAUCUUCAAAACGCCUCUCAGUUCGGAUUGUAGGCUGCAACUCGCCUGCAUGAAGCUGGAAUCGCUAGUAAUCGCAAAUCAGCCAUGUUGCGGUGAAUACGUUCCCGGGUCUUGUACUCACCGCCCGUCACACCAUGGGAGUUGUGUUUGCCUUAAGUCAGGAUGCUAAACUAGCUACUGCCCACGGCACACACAGCGACUGGGGUGAAGUCGUAACAAGGUAACCGUAGGUGAACCUGCGGUUGGAUCACCUCCUUUCUAGA
RNAcentral lists this ribosomal RNA (1508 nucleotides) under Helicobacter pylori. RNAcentral's name for it is "bacterial SSU rRNA". It matches the Rfam family "Bacterial small subunit ribosomal RNA". Lineage: Bacteria; Pseudomonadati; Campylobacterota; Epsilonproteobacteria; Campylobacterales; Helicobacteraceae. The record is from RNAcentral.